Drosophila nasuta is the source of this 323-nucleotide long non-coding RNA. RefSeq lists it as uncharacterized. NCBI's taxonomy places the organism in Eukaryota, Metazoa, Arthropoda, Insecta, Diptera, Drosophilidae. The record is from RefSeq and is a predicted model, not a curated record. The transcript is spliced from 2 exons.
CUCAUUCUAUGUAGAGGCAAAUUCUUUUUCAGCAGUAAAUUUCCAUUGAAAACUGUCGGCAACAUAAUAAAACACGGCUUUGCUUUUAUAAUCACACCUCAGAUUUUAUCUAUGCACAACAUUGGAGCAUAGAACUUGUGCCAAAAUAGCCAUUGUAAACCAUACUUGGAGCAUAAAUAUUAAUGGAAUCGUUGUUCAAGUACCAAAAAUGUAUUUUUGGGGGGAAGUUUUCAUAUGCCGCAUGCAUAGGAAACGAAAAUAAAACCACGAAAUUAUGAAGCCAAAACAAGUAACAAAAAAAAAAAGUAUAGGAAAGGAGACAG